This 394-nucleotide unclassified non-coding RNA is filed under the name soil metagenome. RNAcentral's name for it is "partial contains 5.8S ribosomal RNA, internal transcribed spacer 2, and large subunit ribosomal RNA". The stretch from base 2 to 119 matches the Rfam family "5.8S ribosomal RNA", at positions 37 to 154 of the family's 154-position model. The record is from RNAcentral.
GUGAAGAACGUAGUGAAAUGCGAUAAGUAAUGUGAAUUGCAGAAUUCAGUGAAUCAUCGAAUCUUUGAACGCAUCUUGCGCUCCUUGGUAUUCCGAGGAGCAUGCCUGUUUGAGUGUCAUUUUAACUUCUCAACCAUAUCGAAUUGUUUUUCGAGGUGGCUUGGACAUGGGGGUUUUUGCAGGCUUUAAUAAUGAAGUCGGCUCCUCUGAAAUGCAUUAGUGGUAUCUGAAGCAGAACUGCUACUAUUAGGUGUGAUAAUUAUCUAUGCCUCUUGGUAUACUGCAUGAACAGAUUGCGCUGCUUCCAACUUGUACACCCUUUGGUGUUUGACAAAUUUGACCUCAAAUCAGGUAGGACUACCCGCUGAACUUAAGCAUAUCAAUAAGCGGAGGA